This 624-nucleotide small RNA is filed under the name Pongo abelii (Sumatran orangutan). Its description in RNAcentral is "processed transcript". The record is from RNAcentral. Lineage: Eukaryota; Metazoa; Chordata; Mammalia; Primates; Hominidae.
UUCCUUACUGCACUGGCCACCAGAGCUUAAUUUUCCCAGCAGUAACAGCAAUGGGAGAUAUAACAGUCUCAAUCUUUUGCCAACAAUCAGGUUCCUAGAAACCAGACAUACACUGUCAAAUGGAAGAAAUUAAAGCCGCAUCCUCAAUAUUAGGCAACAGAGUUUCUAAGAGUGGACAGCUCCAAGAAGGUUGUGAAGGAAACUUCAGGCCGUGAGAAACACGGCUUCAUCAGAAUCCCGGUCCUUGCCACUGUCUUCACUCGGUGCAUGCUCACCGCCACUUGGAGACCGACAGCUCAAAUCCUCCACCCCGGACUCUUGGUCACUGUUGGCUGACAGAUCUGGAUCUGAACUUUUCAGAUUGUCUUGGGUUAGAAUCAGAGCAGAAUCUUCAUCACCUUGUGAAGGGCUCCGGGAUGGAAAUGAUUUCAUAUUCCCACUGUAAUCCUGGGGAGUGUUGGCUAUGCUGUUGUCUGAGGUAGAAAACCCUGAGUGCUUGCUGGGCUCACUUUGCUUACUCUUCACCUUAGUGCAAUUUAACUGGACCUUUUGAAUUUUUUCCAGCCUCUAAGAAAGAAAGAACAAUUUCGGGGAAAAAUCAUAAAUAAUUUAUCUUUUUCUAUA